AUGGGAAGCAAGGCAGGGCCGCCGCCGCUGGCUGAAAACCACUCGUCGCCUGUCAUGGCGGCCUCCGCCACCACCGACGGUCCACCCUUCCCCAUCUACAUCUCAUCCGACGAGGACGAGGACGUAGCAGUCCUUGGUUCCUCCAGCAACCCCGAGGAGAUCCAGAUCCAGCAGGCCAUCCUCCUCUCCAUCGGCCUCUCGCGCGACACGACAGGCAUCCCCUCCUCCUCGGCCUCCCUCUCCGGAACCGACGUCGACAUAACAGACCGCAAAGGCAAGCGUAAACUACGAUCGGAGUCGCCACAUCAAGUCAUAGAUAUAGAUGAUAAUGAUAGGCAAGAAGUCAUCGAUGUAGACGACGAUGACAGCCUGAUCUUCAUCAAAGAGACGGGCAGCGGGAAGUGGAGAAAACCACGUAACGGUGGCCUGUUGGAGGUCGGCGAAGGUUCCCACAGCGCCACGAUCAUGAAAGAGUUCUACUGCACAAUCUGCAUGGAGACGCUCCCCGGCGUCGAGCGCUUCCCCGUCGCCGGGUGCGCGCACGCCUUCUGCGCGGGCUGCGUGAGGCAGUACAUCGCGGCGAGGGUCGAGGACAACCUGCUGUCCAUGGGCUGCCCCGACCCGGGCUGCAAGGACGGCGUGCUGCACCCGGAGGAAUGCCGCGACAUCGUCCCGCCUCAGCUGUUCCAGCGGUGGGGCGCCGCGCUCUGCGAAGUGGCGCUCGGGGACCUCAAGUUCUACUGCCCCUUCAAGGACUGCUCGGCGCUGCUGAUCGACGACGGCCCCGGCCCCGGCGACGGGGGCGCGGUGGCGCUCACGAACGUGGAGUGCCCACACUGUAACCGGAUGUUCUGCGCGCAGUGCAAGGUGCCGUGGCACGAAGGCGUGGGCUGCGCCGAGUUCCAGCGGCUCGGGGAGGACGAGCGCGGGCGGGAGGACCUGCUGCUGAGGAAGGUCGCGCAGGAGAGGAGGUGGCAGAGGUGCCCCCGGUGCAAGAUGUACGUCGAAAGGGUGACCGGCUGCCAGUUCAUGAGCUGCAGGUAA
Molecule: ribosomal RNA, 1044 nt
Filed under: Triticum aestivum (bread wheat)
Lineage: Eukaryota; Viridiplantae; Streptophyta; Magnoliopsida; Poales; Poaceae
Description: partial small subunit ribosomal RNA
Source: RNAcentral